This 71-nucleotide transfer RNA is filed under the name Schistosoma mansoni. Lineage: Eukaryota; Metazoa; Platyhelminthes; Trematoda; Strigeidida; Schistosomatidae. The record is from RNAcentral.
UCACUCAGUAGCUAAAUGGAUAACGCGAUGGCGUUUGAAGUGAACGGUCCUGGGUUCGGGUCCCAGAGUGA